RNAcentral lists this ribosomal RNA (467 nucleotides) under uncultured bacterium. Its description in RNAcentral is "partial 16S ribosomal RNA". It matches the Rfam family "Bacterial small subunit ribosomal RNA", at positions 28 to 506 of the family's 1533-position model. The record is from RNAcentral.
GACGAACGCUGGCGGCGUGCUUAACACAUGCAAGUCGAACGGUGAAGCUCCAGCUUGCUGGAGUGGAUCAGUGGCGAACGGGUGAGUAACACGUGAGCAACCUGCCCCAGACUCUGGAAUAAGCGCUGGAAACGGCGUCUAAUACUGGAUACGAGAUCAAGCCGCAUGGUUAUGGUCUGGAAAGUUUUUCGGUUUGGGAUGGGCUCGCGGCCUAUCAGCUUGUUGGUGAGGUAAUGGCUCACCAAGGCGACGACGGGUAGCCGGCCUGAGAGAGCGACCGGCCACACUGGGACUGAGACACGGCCCAGACUCCUACGGGAGGCAGCAGUGGGGAAUAUUGCACAAUGGGCGAAAGCCUGAUGCAGCGACGCCGCGUGAGGGAUGACGGCCUUCGGGUUGUAAACCUCUUUCAGCAGGGAAGAAGCGAAAGUGACGGUACCUGCAGAAGAAGCACCGGCUAACUACGU